Zingiber officinale is the source of this 1805-nucleotide long non-coding RNA. RefSeq lists it as uncharacterized. Lineage: Eukaryota; Viridiplantae; Streptophyta; Magnoliopsida; Zingiberales; Zingiberaceae. The record is from RefSeq and is a predicted model, not a curated record. The transcript has 3 exons.
CAACCGAUCCUCACACGCCCAAUCCCUUCUCCUUCUCCCCUCUCAUGAUCCCCUUCAUCUCCUCCCCUCCCUCUCGCGACACAACCCGACCUCUUCGGCUCCUCCACCCGACGGCGCCGCCGCGACGCUUCCUCUUCUCUCUCGCAGACAAAAGGGGCGGCCAAAAGGAAACUUGGCACUUUUCUCCCGAGUCUUAGUCGACACUGAUCCCUCUCUGUGUCGCUAUUGGCCACCACAGCCUGACUCCGGUCGUCACCACCCGUCGCCACUUGUCACCGAAGCCGUGCCCUAGAUUUCCCCUUUGCUGCACAGCGCCGCGCCUAGGUGUCGCUCUCUUCCCGCACGGAGCAACGCCGACGUCGCAAAUCGAACCUAGCCGAGCAUCAGCUACACGAGCUCCUCUCCCUAUCUCCUCACUUUAGGCGCGACGCUCGGUGCCCUAGCUUCCAUCUUCGACACCGCCGAUGGGUUGCUGCUGACCAUGGAGAUAGAAGUUGGCCCCACAUCUUCAUCCCUGGUCCCUGUGCCCUAGACCGUCGACUCUUGGUGUCUCUUCAUCGCAGUACCAGCCGGUCUUCUCACGCCGCUUCUCACUGCUCUGGUUCACUACCACAAUAGCUUUGGGGAGGAGGUUACGAAUCUGGUUUUGGGGUAUCCAGUGUUGAAUCUCAAUUUGGUAGUGGCGAAUUCUUGGUCUUUUCUUAAUCCGAGCAGCGAGGUGAAUUUCCAGCAGGUGAGGUAUUGAUUUUGGGAAUCUAGGAAUUUGAUCUUGUUGUAGAUCUAGGUUAUAGGGUAGUUAGAUGAAGAAUGAAAUAUUUACUAGAUUUGAUUUAGGUUUAGACUUAAAUCAAAUUGUAUAGUGAAACAAUUAGAGUUAAGGAAAUUAACCCUAGUUGACCAAGGAACUAAAUUUAGGUAUAGUGAAUGAUCAUGUUGAUUAGGGUAUAAGUGGACCGUUGUUGAUCGCCGACACCCUACAGUCGAACGAUCCCUUCGCUCCCCCUUCCCGAUAAGUUCACAGAGCCAUCCGUGCCUCCUUUCAGGCGGGAUCAGAUCGUGCGACAAACUCUGGAGGUGACCAACAAGAUCCUGGUCCUCCUCAUACUUGCAGUUGGUUGAGGUCUCGAUUGAAGGUGCUGGGAAUCUUUUGAGGUGAGUGAUAUUCCAUGUGUUGAGUUUCGACAAAUUUCUGCUUACUGGUAAGACUUGGACUGAUUCCGAAUAGAACUUAUGGAUGUAUAAGUGCUCUUGGUAGCUGUCGACAGAGGUUUAUAAGGCGGUGAGCUUUAUAUUUUGACUAUAUCUUAAGGUAAGAAUGUUGUACAGUGAAGUAAAGAAUAAAUUGUUACUAAAAUUAUUUUAGGUUUAAAUUUGAAUCUAAUUAUAGUUAAUCGAUGGAUCUAAUCAAAGUUUUGGAUUAGACUCGAGUUAUGUAGCUAAUCGAGAUUACUAAAUGAAUUAGGGUUCCUGGUAAAUAAGAAUUUGAUUUGGCUAUUUGAUAUUUAUGGUAGUAGCUAAGUUAAAGGUGUUGAUACAUGAUUCUGAUUUUGCGACGAGCUACCUUACAUGAGAUUACAUUUGGCACGCAAUAUAUUGGAGGCAGAUACUUUGACUUAUCUUCUAAGAUAUUGUCAUUUGAUAUGCAUAGUAAUAUUUAACGAAUAGUAAUAUUUAUGUUCAUUUCUGCAUUGGUAUGUCAUUAUCUAUUACCUGAGCAUGCUGUAUUUAUUACCUGCUUUUGCAUUCAUGUUUCUUUGAUUAUUUAUGUCCUUAAGGUAAUAACAUACCAUACCUCAUUAUGUUCA